Molecule: ribosomal RNA, 250 nt
Filed under: uncultured prokaryote
Description: partial 16S rRNA
Rfam family: Bacterial small subunit ribosomal RNA
Source: RNAcentral
ACGUAGGGGGCAAGCGUUAUCCGGAUUUAUUGGGCGUAAAGCGUGUGUAGGCGGUUUAUUAAGUCUAAGAUUAAAGCCCGAGGCUCAACCUCGGUUUGUCUUAGAAACUGGUAGACUUGAGUGUGGUAGAGGUAAGUGGAAUUUCUAGUGUAGCGGUUAAAUGCGUAGAUAUUAGAAGGAACACCAGUGGCGAAGGCGGCUUACUGGGCCAUUACUGACGCUGAGACACGAAAGCGUGGGGAGCAAAUAG